Molecule: long non-coding RNA, 682 nt
Organism: Asparagus officinalis (garden asparagus)
Lineage: Eukaryota; Viridiplantae; Streptophyta; Magnoliopsida; Asparagales; Asparagaceae
Exons: 2
Source: RefSeq, a predicted model, not a curated record
UGUUUUUGUAUCGAUUGUGUUGUUUUGGGAGGUUCCUAGGGUUUGGGGUUGCUUGAAGAUGACGACAACGAAGAAUUCGGCCAAGAUUCUAUCCUAAAUAGUUUUCAUCUGCUGCACUCUUUGUUACUUUAUUUAUUUCCUUCCUGUUCUAUGCUAGAAGGGGAAAAAUAGAAAGAAAUCAUAGAUGGGUUCCGAUAUACCUGCUGAUGUCUUUCUUAUUGAAGAUUGCCCUCAUGAGUGGUGGAGAUCUGGUGGUGGUGGUGCCAGAGGGCUUGGGUGAGCGGAGGGAAGGCGUUGGAGGUGGUGGAGCUCGGGUUCGGGCGGUUUGGGGUUGAAGGAGGUGGUUGUGGGGGUGCUUGGCGGCGUGUGGUCGGAGGGGGAGGUGGUGUUGGGGGUGUUUGGCGCGGUGAGGGAAGGUGAGCGGAGGAGGGUGGUGGCGCAACGGCGGCCACAAUUCGAGCUGUUAUUUGAAUUGUUCCAAAAAGACCCAUUUAUCUUGUUGUGAUAAUUAUGAACAUGAAGGUUAAAACCAUUUAUCUUGUAUUGUUGUGAUAAUUUGAUGUUGAAACUAUGUACUUGUGAAUUUUCUUGUAUUGUUGUGAUAAUUUGAUGUUAAAACUAUGUACUUGUGAUAAUUUGAUGUUGAAACUAUGCUCUGGUGAUUUGUAUGACAGUUGAAAAA